UGAAGAUAAAAUAAAAUUCUGCAAAGAAUCUGAGAGUUUUUAAUGUCCUCUUGGCUUAAAAUGAGUUGGAAUUGUUUGGUGGUAAUUUUUCUUUCUUUUAUCCUUAAACAUAUUAAAGAGAAAAAUGAAAAUAACUUAUUUUGAAUAUCUAAAUGCUCCUUUUACAAAAGGGGACGCUUUAGAACGCUUGUCUAGAAAAAGAAGUGAGCUGAAACAUUGUGCUAAUGGGAUUUGCAGCAUAAAAUAUGGCUAAUUUCUCUUGUAUGACUACAGGUGGCAGUGUAGAAGCCAAGAACAAAAAUUGGCAGAAAUUGUGUUCUGUGUACGAGAAUAUGAAGAGUGUACUCAUGACUAAGCACAGGAACCUGGAAAACCACAGGUCGUGUUGGAUUAAUGCUGUGGAUCAAUCAACCCAGAACCAGUAGUUGCCCAUCAGUCGCUCAGUAGUCAGUGUAGAUUCUGUCUUUACAAUCAGCAGCUACAUCUGGCUACUGGGUCUCUGAUGACAUCUCCUACCUCCUGUCUAGACUUUUUGUUGGAUUUGUGUCUUCUCUCCUGGGUGCAGAGCAAGUUCACAAUGCGAACAAGUGAAUGCCUGAGGUGUGGCCCCAAAUAAAGGAUUGGAUAUCUGUUGGAUCUGCUUCA
RNAcentral lists this long non-coding RNA (645 nucleotides) under Parus major (Great Tit). Its description in RNAcentral is "lncRNA (ENSPMJG00000010802.1)". The stretch from base 429 to 511 matches the Rfam family "mir-221 microRNA precursor family". The record is from RNAcentral. Lineage: Eukaryota; Metazoa; Chordata; Aves; Passeriformes; Paridae.